CAGGCUUAACACAUGCAAGUCGAGGGGCAGCAUGGUCUUAUCUUGCUAUUACUGAUGGCGACCGGCGCAGGGGUGAGUAACACGUAUCCAACCUGCCGUCUACUCUUGGACAGCCUUCUGAAAGGAAGAUUAAUACAAGAUGGCAUCAUGAGUCCGCAUGUUCACAUGAUUAAAGGUAUUCCGGUAGACGAUGGGGAUGCCUUCCAUUAGAUAGUAGGCGGGGUAACGGCCCACCUAGUCUUCGAUGGAUAGGGGUUCUGAGAGGAAGGUCCCCCACAUUGGAACUGAGACACGGUCCAAACUCCUACGGGAGGCAGCAGUGAGGAAUAUUGGUCAAUGGGCGAGAGCUUGAACCAGCCAAGUAGCGUGAAGGAUGACUGCCCUAUGGGUUGUAAACUUCUUUUAUAAAGGAAUAAAGUCGGGUAUGCAUACCCGUUUGCAUGUACUUUAUGAAUAAGGAUCGGCUAACUCCGUGCCAGCAGCCGCGGUAAUACGGAGGAUCCGAGCGUUAUCCAGAUUUAUUGGGUUUAAAGGGAGCGUAGAUGGAUGUUUAAGUCAGUUGUGAAAGUUUGCGGCUCAACCGUAAAAUUGCAGUUGAUACUGGAUAUCUUGAGUGCAGUUGAGGCAGGCGGAAUUCGUGGUGUAGCGGUGAAAUGCUUAGAUAUCACGAAGAACUCCGAUUGCGAAGGCAGCCUGCUAAGCUGCAACUGACAUUGAGGCUCGUAAGUGUGGGUAUCAAACAGGAUUAGAUACCCUGGUAGUCCACACGGUAAACGAUGAAUACUCGCUGUUUGCGAUAUACGGCAAGCGGCCAAGCGAAAGCGUUAAGUAUUCCACCUGGGGAGUACGCCGGCAACGGUGAAACUCAAAGGAAUUGACGG
Molecule: ribosomal RNA, 881 nt
Filed under: uncultured bacterium
Lineage: Bacteria
Description: bacterial SSU rRNA
Rfam family: Bacterial small subunit ribosomal RNA
Source: RNAcentral